GAUGAACGCUGGCGGCGUGCUUAACACAUGCAAGUCGAACGGUGAAGCCAAGCUUGCUUGGUGGAUCAGUGGCGAACGGGUGAGUAACACGUGAGCAACCUGCCCUGGACUCGGGGAUAAGCGCUGGAAACGGUGUCUAAUACUGGAUAUGAGCUCCUUACGCAUGGUGGGGGUGGGAAAGAUUUUUCGGUCUGGGAUGGGCUCGCGGCCUAUCAGGUCGUUGGUGAGGUAAUCGCUCAUCAAGGCGUCGACGGGUAGCCGGCCUGAGAGGGUGACCGGCCACACUGGGACUGAGACACGGCCCAGACUCCUACGGGAGGCAGCAGUGGGGAAUAUUGCACAAUGGGCGGAAGCCUGAUGCAGCAACGCCGCGUGAGGGAUGACGGCCUUCGGGUUGUAAACCUCUUUUAGCAGGGAAGAAGCUUUUGUGACGGUACCUGCAGAAAAAGCGCCGGCUAACUACGUGCCAGCAGCCGCCGUAA
RNAcentral lists this ribosomal RNA (482 nucleotides) under uncultured bacterium. RNAcentral describes it as "partial 16S ribosomal RNA". It matches the Rfam family "Bacterial small subunit ribosomal RNA", at positions 28 to 523 of the family's 1533-position model. The record is from RNAcentral.